Molecule: transfer RNA, 74 nt
Filed under: Bacteroidota bacterium
Lineage: Bacteria; Pseudomonadati; Bacteroidota
Also listed under: 2 other names
Description: Bacteroidetes bacterium (hot springs metagenome) tRNA-Ala
Rfam family: tRNA
About the family: Transfer RNA (tRNA) molecules are approximately 80 nucleotides in length. Their secondary structure includes four short double-helical elements and three loops (D, anti-codon, and T loops).
Source: RNAcentral
GGGGAAUUAGCUCAGCUGGCUAGAGCGUUUGCAUGGCAUGCAAAAGGUCAUGGGUUCGACUCCCAUAUUCUCCA